UGUGUCAAUUUUCAACGUACUGUAAUAAAAGAAAUCGCACCCUGAACAUUGUGUUCUCAAUUGUUACUGUACAGUAUCUAUUGUGUGUAAUGGAUCCUCCAUGGAGUUUAGUACUCAUUUUUGCAUUGAGUUGUGAUAUUACUGCAUUUUCUGCAUUAUGUAACUAUUCCCAUGAAAUGCACAAAUCUAUAGAAAAUGCCCAAAACAUAUUUGAGAAUAAAUAAGGGUUGCUCAAAUGCAUCCUGGCAGUUGUGAAACUGUAAAAAGAACAGUCUCACACUGUGAAAAUUGUGCUUUCAAUUUUUUUGGUAAUGUGGUUAAUGAUGCUCAGUAGUGUUUACAUUUUUGCAGGCCUUGAGUGGUAUUUUGGUGUCAGAGUUUGCUUUUGAGCAUAUGAGCAACUGUUUUGGUGUGAUGGGUUUGCUUUUGAGCAUAUGAGCAACUGUUUUGGUGUGAUGGGUUUGCUUUUGAGCAUAUGAGCAACUGUUUUGGUGUGAUGGGUUGGUUUUGAAAAGAAACUGUGAGGUUUAGUGUACGUAGCUUUAGAAAAGUGUUUUGUGUUUAGAGUUUUGUGAAAAGUGAGGGCAGUAUCGUGAAAUGUGUUUAAGCAAUAGAGAAAAACUGUAACAAGAUAAUUACCAAAG
This is a long non-coding RNA of Melanotaenia boesemani (Boeseman's rainbowfish), 644 nucleotides long. RefSeq lists it as uncharacterized. The record is from RefSeq and is a predicted model, not a curated record. The transcript has 3 exons. Lineage: Eukaryota; Metazoa; Chordata; Actinopteri; Atheriniformes; Melanotaeniidae.